ACUCCUACGGGAGGCAGCAGUGGGGAAUUUUGGACAAUGGGCGAAAGCCUGAUCCAGCAAUGCCGCGUGUGUGAAGAAGGCCUUCGGGUUGUAAAGCACUUUUGUCCGGAAAGAAAUCCUUGGCUCUAAUACAGUCGGGGGAUGACGGUACCGGAAGAAUAAGCACCGGCUAACUACGUGCCAGCAGCCGCGGUAAUACGUAGGGUGCGAGCGUUAAUCGGAAUUACUGGGCGUAAAGCGUGCGCAGGCGGUUUGCUAAGACCGAUGUGAAAUCCCCGGGCUCAACCUGGGAACUGCAUUGGUGACUGGCAGGCUAGAGUAUGGCAGAGGGGGGUAGAAUUCCACGUGUAGCAGUGAAAUGCGUAGAGAUGUGGAGGAAUACCGAUGGCGAAGGCAGCCCCCUGGGCCAAUACUGACGCUCAUGCACGAAAGCGUGGGGAGCAAACAGGAUUAGAAACCCGUGUAGUCCCAUGAU
RNAcentral lists this ribosomal RNA (475 nucleotides) under uncultured organism. RNAcentral describes it as "partial 16S ribosomal RNA". It matches the Rfam family "Bacterial small subunit ribosomal RNA", at positions 335 to 801 of the family's 1533-position model. The record is from RNAcentral.